RNAcentral lists this ribosomal RNA (287 nucleotides) under Panthera onca (jaguar). Its description in RNAcentral is "partial 16S ribosomal RNA". It matches the Rfam family "Bacterial large subunit ribosomal RNA", at positions 2025 to 2486 of the family's 2925-position model. Lineage: Eukaryota; Metazoa; Chordata; Mammalia; Carnivora; Felidae. The record is from RNAcentral.
ACUUCCAAUCCGUGAAAUUGACCUUCCCGUGAAGAGGCGGGAAUAUGACAAUAAGACGAGAAGACCCUAUGGAGCUUUAAUUAACCGACCCAAAGAGAUCUUGAUAAUCAACCGACAGGGAUAACAUACCUCUACCAUGGGCCGACAAUUUAGGUUGGGGUGACCUCGGAGAAUAAAACAACCUCCGAGUGAUUUAAAUCUAGACUAACUAGUCGAAAGUACUACAUCACUUAUUGAUCCAAAAACUUGAUCAACGGAACAAGUUACCCUAGGGAUAACAGCGCAAU